RNAcentral lists this transfer RNA (88 nucleotides) under Fervidicoccus fontis. RNAcentral describes it as "tRNA-Leu". It matches the Rfam family "tRNA". From Rfam's summary of the family: Transfer RNA (tRNA) molecules are approximately 80 nucleotides in length. Their secondary structure includes four short double-helical elements and three loops (D, anti-codon, and T loops). Lineage: Archaea; Thermoproteati; Thermoproteota; Thermoprotei; Fervidicoccales; Fervidicoccaceae. The record is from RNAcentral.
GCGGGGGUGCCCGAGCCUGGGCUAAGGGGGCGGACUCAAGAUCCGCUGGCGUAGGCCGUCCGGGGUUCAAAUCCCCGCCCCCGCACCA